This 253-nucleotide ribosomal RNA is filed under the name uncultured bacterium. RNAcentral's name for it is "partial 16S ribosomal RNA". It matches the Rfam family "Bacterial small subunit ribosomal RNA", at positions 524 to 776 of the family's 1533-position model. The record is from RNAcentral.
UACGGGGGGGGCAAGCGUUGUUCGGAAUUACUGGGCGUAAAGGGCUCGUAGGCGGCCAACUAAGUCAGACGUGAAAUCCCUCGGCUUAACCGGGGAACUGCGUCUGAUACUGGAUGGCUUGAGUCCGGGAGAGGGAUGCGGAAUUCCAGGUGUAGCGGUGAAAUGCGCAGAUAUCAGGAGGAACACCAAUUGCGAAGGCAGCUCGCUGGGACGUUACUGACGCUGAGACGCGAAAGCGUGGGGAUCAAACAGG